RNA transcript from Phlebotomus papatasi, 2290 nucleotides. RefSeq lists it as uncharacterized. The transcript is spliced from 3 exons. The record is from RefSeq and is a predicted model, not a curated record. Lineage: Eukaryota; Metazoa; Arthropoda; Insecta; Diptera; Psychodidae.
GAUUAUGCGAGUCAUUUUUCCGUGAUAUUCAUGAAAUCAAGGUACAAGUUGGAAUUGACGGGUGUCCCCUCUCUGAUAAUCGCACAAUUUGGCCAAUAAUGGGGAGAUUUCUUCAUCAACCAAAUUACUCCCCAUUUUUGAUAGGAAUUUAUGAAGGACAAAAGGAUCCUAAAGAUGCAACGGAGUUUCUAGAAGACUUGACUAAUGAAAUAAAUUACCUCAAUAAAAAUGGUGUCUUCACAAAGGAUGGAAAACAUUUUCAUUUUCAAAUCACAUCUUACAUUAUGGACUCCAAGGCACGAGCUUCAAUUACAGGUGUGAAAGGACAUACAUCUCAUAAGGGAUGUGGAAGAUGUGAACAACACGGGAUAUCCAUACAGCGAAGAGUCGUUUUUUCCCAAACAUGUGGUCAACUCCGCACAGACGACUCAUUUGCACAAAGAAGAGAUUCCUAUCAUCAUAACGAGGAGUAUCCGUAUGGGCUAGAACUUGCUAAUGUAAAGAUGAUAUCUCAGGUGCCACUUUGCAGCAUGCACUUGAUAUACUUGGGUAUCGUACGUACCCUUGGGGUGCUGUGGAUGACAGCUAAAAGCAAAACAUUUACAUUAAGUCCUCAGAAAAGGAAGGAACUUGACAAAAAACAUAUGUCUCUUACUCCUUUUUUGCCCACAGAAUUUUCACGAAAGCCAGAUAGCCUAUAUUUUGUUCACAAAUGGAAGGCAACUCAGUGUCGCCAGUUUCUGUUGUACACUGGGCCUGUCGUGCUCAAAAAUAUAUUACCAGAAUCCCAAUACCACCACUUCUUGCUGCUCUCUGCAGCAUGCAGGAUACUUACAUCUAACAAAUUGACUCAAAGCCAAGAGUGGAUAGCAGCAGCAGAGCAGUUGUUGGAAAUAUUUGUUGGUCAGUAUUCUAACAUGUAUGGAGAAGAUCAGAUAACUUAUAAUGUGCACAACCUUCUCCAUGUAGGAGACUGUGCUCGACUUCACGGAUCACUCGAAAAUUUCUCGGCCUUUCCUUUCGAGAAUUUUCUGCAGACGCUUAAAAAUAAUGUGGACCACCGAUCUCAAGCUAUUCCUCAAAUAAUAAAUAGACUCAAGGAAGAAAAGCAGUUACCCGAAGUUAAUAAGGAGAUCUCAAGUUAUUCUGAUAAAAAAAUACUUAAAAAGCCUAUAUUAGGAGCGUCAUUCCUAUAUCAGUCUUGUAAGUUCGAUGAACUGAUCUUUGAUGCUAGGGAUGCAAAUAAGUAUUGCUUGACAAAAGAUCGGGAUAUUGUUGAAAUUGUUGGUUUUGGUUGCUUGAAUGGCAUAGAUGGAUUUAUUGGGAAAAAAUUACCCACAAAAGGAAAUUUUUUCAAUUUUCCCUUUGAGUCUCAGUCCUUGGAUAUUUUUUUAGUUAGUUCUGCCCAAGAGGAUAUAUUUUUCUUUGGUCAAACUCAAAUGCAAACAAAGAUUAUUAAAAUUCCUCUCAACACCACUGAUAGUGUUUGCUUACCCUACAUUCAUUAAUUAUUAUUCAAUCCUCAUUUUUAUCAAAACUUCUCAUUAGCUACGCCUACUACCGAAAGCGCAUCACGGUGCUGUGAUCUUAAGGGAAUAUUGACAGAGAUUAAAAAUACUCAAAUAGAGCAAGGAAAGACACUUAAAGAACAAGCUAAAACACAAGAAGAGCAAAAUAAAUUGCUUUCCUACAUCAAGAUGUGCAUAGGCAAACGUGAAAUAUAACAACGGUUGAUCAACAAAAUAAGAAGCGGUUUCCCCAUCAGUAGCAUGAAAGAUUUGGCGAAUUUUGAGAGGAAACUCAUUAUACAAGAUUGGAAGGAAGCUUUCCAAAGUAUCGCCAAAGAAAAUCUAAAGUUGAAAGAAUUUCUGACCGACGAAGUCAUAUUUCAAACAAAUUUGUCUGGAGCCAACAAAAAAGUUCAGAUGCGUGGACUUCGCUUCUAUAAACUAUGGAAAGAAGCAUCCAAUAAUUCAGCGACCAGAUUUGACAAUUUUAUAAGAAGGGAAAUAGAAAAAGCGAAGAACCGGGUGUAUGUGAAGAAUUCAAAGAAUAAGAAGAAGGAACAAAUUUGUCAGGUCCCUCAGGAGGAUGAUACGUCAGACGAGGACCUUCCUGAGCAAAACGCACCACAGGAGGAAACUUUUGAAAUAGAAGUGUUCUCUUCUCCAAAACCUGAGAAUGAGAUGACCGACGCCGAGUCAGAUGAUGUGCAGUCUGAUAGUCCAUUUGAAGAAUAAUUAUGAGUUAAAGUCUUUAUUAAACCGUUCCUUGCAUCCUGCUUACGAAA